AGUGAACGCUGGCGGUAGGCCUAACACAUGCAAGUCGAACGGCAGCACAGUAAGAGCUUGCUCUUACGGGUGGCGAGUGGCGGACGGGUGAGGAAUACAUCGGAAUCUACUUUUUCGUGGGGGAUAACGUAGGGAAACUUACGCUAAUACCGCAUACGACCUACGGGUGAAAGCAGGGGAUCUUCGGACCUUGCGCGAUUGAAUGAGCCGAUGUCGGAUUAGCUAGUUGGCGGGGUAAAGGCCCACCAAGGCGACGAUCCGUAGCUGGUCUGAGAGGAUGAUCAGCCACACUGGAACUGAGACACGGUCCAGAAUCCUACGGGAGGCAGCAGUGGGGAAUAUUGGACAAUGGGCGCAAGCCUGAUCCAGCCAUACCGCGUGGGUGAAGAAGGCCUUCGGGUUGUAAAGCCCUUUUGUUGGGAAAGAAAAGCAGCAGGUUAACACCCCGCUGUUCUGACGGUACCCACAGAAUAAGCACCGGCGAACUUCGU
Molecule: ribosomal RNA, 491 nt
Filed under: uncultured bacterium
Lineage: Bacteria
Description: partial 16S ribosomal RNA
Rfam family: Bacterial small subunit ribosomal RNA
Source: RNAcentral